Molecule: long non-coding RNA, 1291 nt
Organism: Bombus terrestris (buff-tailed bumblebee)
Lineage: Eukaryota; Metazoa; Arthropoda; Insecta; Hymenoptera; Apidae
Exons: 3
Source: RefSeq, a predicted model, not a curated record
AAGCCGCACGAGUCCGAACGUCGCGAGUCGAACGCCGCGAGUCGAACGCUUUCAAUUUAUCGGGCGCGCUUCAUCUUAACCCCUUCGAAUAUUUCUUUUCCUUUUCGUAGUGAUGUUUGAAAGGUUUGUUAAUUGUUUCUCCUUGUGCGUGUUGCGUGUAAGUGAUGAAAUAAUGAAGUGGGAAAAAUGUGGUUGAUUAAUUGCUUUUUUGUGCUAUCCGGUAUGCAAGUGAUGGAAGAGUGUAGUAAAAAAAGUGACAAGUGUUUGGUUGAUUUCGUUAACCGUUUCUGCGCACUGUGUGGUGCGCAAGUGAUGGAAAAAUGCAGUAGAGAGAGAAAGAGAAAGAGAAUGAGAAGAGUCGAGUAGAGAAAGUGGGAAGUGUAACAAGGUAAGAUUCUUUCUCUUUUUAUAGGAAUAUUUAUUUUGUUUAAUUAAUUAUUUCUACAUGUUCUCUGGAGUGGAGAGAGUGAAAAGUAGAACUAUGCGAUAAUUAGAUAAAUAGAUAGUUGGAAUCAGAAUUCAAUUACUAACGUUACUGUAAUACAAUCGAUCGAGAUGAUAUACAAUUAAAUAUGAAAAUAUUUGAACAUUUAUUGUAAUGAAAGUUCGUACUAAUAAAAUUUCAAAAGUUUUCGUAUAAUUUUCGUGAUCUGUUGUAUGUAACGAAUUAGAUUGAUUUAGUCUUAUGUAGUUGUAUGCAUAGAGUAGAAAUACCGUAACGGGUGAUAGUAGGUUAGGUGUUAGUCGAGUAAUUGAUGGAUAAUUGAGUGGUUCAGGUGGUAAGUAGUACAGGUCAAUCGUGAGAACAUUAUUAGAAUUAUAAUAUACUGAACCUUUCAGCAAGUUGAUAUUGCAUUAAUAUUGUUUGCAAUUAUAAUAAAUAAAUGAAAGAUAUUAGUAUUGUAAAUGAAUCAUUUUAUUGCUUUUAUCAUUUUAUCUUAUUAUUCUAUUGUUUGUCAUAAUAGAUAGAUAGUAUUUAAAUAGGUUGGAGGAUAAUAUUAACAUUAUGAAUGAAUUAUUUCAUCUUCAUUCAUUAGUACAAGACAUUGUCAACCAAUGUUUGUUAUUAUUAAAAGUGCAAGAAUACAUGGAAUGAAAAAAUAUAUAAUUAUUCAAAAUAAAGGGCAUGUUACAAUCUAUAAUUAUAAUUUAAUAAGUGAAAUAAAUUCUCAUUUAGAUUUCACUUCUUUAUAAAAAUCUGCAUAAACAUCUCCAUUUAAUUAUUACAUAAAAUUCAAAGCAUAUUUUUUAUCAAAAUACUUUUAAUGGCUCUACCAAUAUAGAAAGAAAU